GCUUUCCCGUUUGCUCGGCUCUCCUUCUCCCGCCUGCUGCCCUGUGAAGAGGUGUCUUCUGCCAUAAUU
This 69-nucleotide long non-coding RNA is filed under the name Pongo abelii (Sumatran orangutan). RNAcentral describes it as "lincRNA". The record is from RNAcentral. Lineage: Eukaryota; Metazoa; Chordata; Mammalia; Primates; Hominidae.